RNAcentral lists this ribosomal RNA (281 nucleotides) under uncultured prokaryote. RNAcentral describes it as "partial 16S ribosomal RNA". It matches the Rfam family "Bacterial small subunit ribosomal RNA", at positions 524 to 803 of the family's 1533-position model. The record is from RNAcentral.
GACGUAGGGGCGAGCGUUGUCCGGAAUUACUGGGCGUAAAGAGCACGUAGGCGGGAACCUAAGUCAGGUGUGAAAGACCGUGGCUCAACCACGGGGUGGCAUUUGAAACUGGGUUUCUUGAGGGCAGGAGAGGAAAGCAGAAUUCCUGGUGUAGCGGUGAAAUGCGUAGAAAUCAGGAGGAAUACCAGUGGCGAAGGCGGCUUUCUGGACUGACCCUGACGCUGAGGUGCGAAAGCGUGGGUAGCAAACAGGAUUAGAUACCCCUGUAGUCCCUGAGCGGG